This 943-nucleotide long non-coding RNA is filed under the name Daphnia pulicaria. RNAcentral describes it as "uncharacterized LOC124337388, transcript variant X3". The record is from RNAcentral. Lineage: Eukaryota; Metazoa; Arthropoda; Branchiopoda; Diplostraca; Daphniidae.
CUUCGUUUUUCAUGUAAUGGCGGAUUGUUGCUGUACCGAUUAAUUCAAAAGAAGGAACGCGAAAGGAAGUAUUAGCCGUUCAAGUAGCCUACGAUCAACUUUUUCAUAAUCGACGUUUUGCUGAAUAAUGCAUCAUCCAGUUAAUACAGGUCACUAUCCCCAGUGUGGGCAUAUACUGCUUUUUUCCGAACAUGUUUUUCUACAAACAUUACAUUGCCACAGACAAAGAAAGCUAAAGGCCAUGGCCAUCUUCAGGUUUAUUGCAGCAUCUUCGGGGAAGUCACAUGAAAAGAUGAAGGGCACAUACCAACAGUUGCAUUUUUCUGAAUGUCUUACUCAAGUAUAGAUUCAACAUGAUUAACAUUUCAAAGUUAGUUAGAACUCUAACUCAGACACAGAUGACUGCUGCUGCUGCCUUACAGCCAAAGGGAGAGCUGUUGGAGUAAUCUUGUCUUCAAUUAUCCUCACUUGACUCAUUUCAUCUUCUAGCUAGCAUAGAGAAACCUGAUUGAUGUUAUCAAGCCAUUUAGAUAAUGACCAAGAAUAUGCGGCCUACAGACUGUGAACAUCAGACGGGAUCAGACUUCAGCAUCAGACUUCAGCAUCUCUAGUCUCUACGACAGAAACGUGCAGUGACAUUCUACAUUUUCUACGCGGAUCAUCUAUUGUUAUUGUUGGUAUGAGUGUUUUUUUAUUUAACCCGUUGGCUGCCACGCCUUUGUUCUCCCAUGUGUUAGCUCCUUAGCACGGGCCACACUGUUUGGUCUCUUGGUCUUAUGUGCCUUGGGAUCGAACAGUUGCACCUGCCCCAGAUUUGCCGAAAGGCCCUGCUAGGCAAUGCACCAUAGGGACUUCCCCCUUGUCGAUACGGUGAUGGAUUCUAGAGGUUGUGCAUUCCAUCUUCUCCUGUCACCGCGUGUCAGCCCGGACUUGUCAGCAAUGG